CGCCCACCGGAAGCCGCAGCGGCCACCGGAUUCCCCACCCCCAACCCGGCGACCCACCCACGGUAAGGGAAAGGAAGGGAAGGCAGAUAGCGGCGGAGGCGGCGGCUUAAAAGGGCCUCGAGCCCGUCCUGUACCCCCACCCCACCCCACCCCGAACCCUACCUCGCCGCCGUAUCUCUGAUCUGAAGAACCGGAGGAGCGCAGUGGAGUCCUAGUCCGUUCCCGCCUGCUCCCUUCUCCCCCCCGACCCCGCCGCGAUGAGCCGCCGCAGGUCCAUUUCACUUACCCUUGUGGAUAACGUGGCUCGUUUUGAAGUUGCUUUUGUGCUAGCACAAUCUAACUAGCUAGGUUAAGCUAUACUCUUUGUUUACUUAGUGGUGUAAAUCUGUAAAGAAAGUCAAUACUUAGUUUUAGUCGAGCUUUGUGUAAAAUAUGGAAAGGAAGAGUGGAAUGAUACUGGAUGAACAUGUUCUGAAAGCUAAUGAUCGCAAGAGGAAACAUGAGUCGUCUGUGAAGAGUACUGGCACAGAUUAUUUUGCUGAGGUCUCUCAGCAUGCUGAUGGUUCUGCUGUCCUUAAGAAGUCUAAAAUGACCUCCUCUGCUGGUGAUAUUCUGGAGUGCUAUAAGAACUUCAAGACAAGCGGUUUGCCCAUGCGGGUGCUUUGUUACCACCAGGGUAAAUGGAGGGACUUUCCAGAGCAUGUUGUGAAUCUGGUACAGCAGGACUUCCAGUUGAAGAGGCCAAUUACUAAUGCUGUAUUGAAGAACCAGCAAGUCCUGUUGGACUUUAUGCACAUGGUCUGCAUUGAUUCUUCCAUGACCACAAACAAGCCAAUAGCAUGGAUUGAUGUUCAUGGUAACCGCUUUUUUCCAGAGUUAUGUGCUGGACUGGUAGCAUCUAAACCAUCUCAGCAUGGGAAAAGUGACCCCAGUGGUAAAUCUGAAGCUGGUGAGUGUGCUGGGAAUUUGAUUUUGACAGCUGGAGCUGAAAGCUCGAGUUCAGAUUCUGUUGAUGCAGUACUCCCUCAUGCUAAGAAGGUUAAUAACAUACUGGAGGAAGAACACGAGGUACAUAAUUAUGCUGCUGUUGAAAAUAAAGCUGGUCCUGCAAUCUGUUUGGAUGAACCUGCUAGUGGAAACAUACAUGCUGCUACUUGUAAGCAGAAAAUUGGCCAACCUGUUGAUUCAGCUGUGCGCAAAUUAUUACUUGAAGGGGCAGGCCAACCUUUUAGUGAAGAAAAUAUUAUUGGCAUCUACAGAACUCCACUGGUAGAUCAGCAUGGGCGGGCUCGCUUCAAUCUUUUCCAGAAGGAACUUGAAGCCACCAAAAUGCGUCGUGGGAACGCAAAUGUGCGCUACGCAUGGCUACCUUGUUCCAAGGAUACCAUGGAGGAGAUGAUGAUGCGUGGUGUUCUGGAAGUUACAAAACCCAUGCUGGGGCCAAUGUAUGGCAUUGGUACACAUCUUGCUCCAGCGAACUGCGCCAAAACUUGUGCUAGCUACUCAGAUAUUGACGAAAAUGGCAUCAUGAGGAUGAUGCUGUGCCGUGUCAUAAUGGGGAAUGUUGAGGUUGUACUUCCUGGAUCAAAGCAAUUCCAGCCAACUAAUGGAACAUUUGAUAGUGGCGUGGAUGAUCUUCAAAAGCCAAAGCACUAUGUCAUAUGGGAUGCUAAUGUGCAUAGACACAUCUAUGCUGAAUAUGCUGUUGUUAUCAAAGCACCUUCCAUGACCAAUGAAUACUUGGCUGGAGAAGAUACUGCAUCCAACGUAUCUGAGAUAAGAAAUUCUGGUUCAGCAGAAAGUGUAAUCAAGGACGAUAGUUCCGAAACCUUGGCAUCCCCAGCUGAUAAACAACAAGCACCCAGGUUUGGGCGUGCUCCAACUAGAAGGCCUCCUACUUCACCCUGGAUGCCCCUCCCAAUGCUUUUCGCUGCCAUCUCCACAAAAGUUCCUCGUUCUGACAUGGACGUAAUCCAUGGACACUAUGAAGAAUUCAAGAGGAGAAAGAUAAGCAGGCCCGAGUUUGUGAGACGGCUAAGACAGAUCGUCGGCGACAAGCUGCUGGUUUCUACAGUAGUGAGGCUGCAACCUAAGGUAGUGGCACCCAUGGCAGGUGCUGAAGUGCUACCAAGAGGAGCACCCGGCACGGGAGGGAGCAGCACCUCCUGAAGUAGCAGUUCGUCGAGAUAACAGCUCGUGGAGCCGCUCCUAGCGGAGAGAGGGAGAGCAUAAGGGAAGCCAUUAGUUAUGUGUCAGUUGGUUAUAGACAAGACUAGUCAGUAAUCUGUGAGCAACCUGUUAAGUUGGUGUAGCUUUCCAUCUGGUUGGUCUCUUGGCGUCAGUCGGUAACUGGAAAAAACUCUGUUGUAGCAGCUGCUGUUCUGUGCAAAUCUGUUUGCAGCUUGUACUGUGCUGUACUUGGUAAAUUUAUUGUCUUAAUUUUGAGCUGAUGAACCUAGCAUAGAAUAUGUAGACUUCACCUGAUGUUGAGUUUCAGCUGGCUCUAGAUUUUCUCUCUUUUGCUGACGAGCCUAGCAUAGAAUUGAUAGAAGUGAUGGUCAGCUUGAGUUGGCUUGCUUCUUCGGCUCCGGUUGUGUUCGACGAAACAUGGUGAAGUUUUGGGAAGACAAAAUCCAGAGAUUUCUUGUUUGAGCAUGCUGUACACUCUGUCUACUUAAUUUACCCUUGCUAGCCCUGAUUUAUUUAUGGACUCUUUCUGAACAGAAAUGGAAAGAGAUGCCAGCGGUUUUUCGUAGUAGCAGAUGAUGCCUUGGUGAGUUGUUAGGGAGUUGGAACAAGAUACCUUGGUGGCAUGGCAUCUUCAAUCCAAA
Molecule: ribosomal RNA, 2831 nt
Filed under: Triticum aestivum (bread wheat)
Lineage: Eukaryota; Viridiplantae; Streptophyta; Magnoliopsida; Poales; Poaceae
Description: partial small subunit ribosomal RNA
Source: RNAcentral